UGGGGAAUAUUGCACAAUGGGCGAAAGCCUGAUGCAGCAACGCCGCGUGAGUGAUGAAGGUCUUCGGAUUGUAAAGCUCUGUCUUUUGGGACGAUAAUGACGGUACCAAAGGAGGAAGCCACGGCUAACUACGUGCCAGCAGCCGCGGUAAUACGUAGGUGGCGAGCGUUGUCCGGAUUUACUGGGCGUAAAGGGUGCGUAGGCGGAUGUUUAAGUGAGAUGUGAAAUACCCGGGCUUAACUUGGGUGCUGCAUUUCAAACUGGAUAUCUAGAGUGCAGGAGAGGAGAAUGGAAUUCCUAGUGUAGCGGUGAAAUGCGUAGAGAUUAGGAAGAACACCAGUGGCGAAGGCGAUUCUCUGGACUGUAACUGACGCUGAGGCACGAAAGCGUGGGUAGCAAACAGGAUUAGAUACCCUGGUAGUCCACGCCGUAAACGAUGAGUACUAGGUGUAGGAGGUAUCGACCCCUUCUGUGCCGCAGUAAACACAUUAAAGUACUCCGCCUGGGAAGUACGAUC
This 517-nucleotide ribosomal RNA is filed under the name uncultured bacterium. RNAcentral describes it as "partial 16S ribosomal RNA". It matches the Rfam family "Bacterial small subunit ribosomal RNA", at positions 355 to 887 of the family's 1533-position model. The record is from RNAcentral.